CGGGUGAGUAACGCGUGAGGAACCUGCCUCAAAGAGGGGGACAGCAGUUGGAAACGACUGCUAAUACCGCAUAAGCCCACGGCUCGGCAUCGAGCAGAGGGAAAAGGAGUGAUCCGCUUUGAGAUGGCCUCGCGUCCGAUUAGCUGGUUGGUGAGGUAACGGCCCACCAAGGCGACGAUCGGUAGCCGGACUGAGAGGUUGAACGGCCACAUUGGGACUGAGACACGGCCCAG
Molecule: ribosomal RNA, 233 nt
Filed under: uncultured bacterium
Lineage: Bacteria
Description: partial 16S ribosomal RNA
Rfam family: Bacterial small subunit ribosomal RNA
Source: RNAcentral